Molecule: long non-coding RNA, 276 nt
Filed under: Medicago truncatula (barrel medic)
Lineage: Eukaryota; Viridiplantae; Streptophyta; Magnoliopsida; Fabales; Fabaceae
Description: lncRNA gene39250
Source: RNAcentral
GGAGCUCCCCUGAAGUGUGAUAGGAACGGAACGGAUCAGGAAAAAAUCAAUGGAAGAAGUAUCCGUAUCUUCAAAUGAAGAGGAAAUCAACGAAGGAAGUAAUGAUUGUAGGAAAUAUCUUCUGCAUAAUUGCAGAAUUAAUGUGUAUAUAUUUACCUUUCGUGAUAGUUUGAUGCUAUAUUUAUUUUCCUUUCAAUGUAUAAUAAAUCAGAUCCCACUGAUUGAGUAUCAUUGCUGUCAUGCCUUAGAAUUAGCUUAGUGCACCUAUGUAAGUUU